CAGUCGCCGCGGUAAUGCGAAGGGUGCAAGCGUUACUCGGAAUUACUGGGCGUAAAGCGUGCGUAGGUGGUGGUUUAAGUCCGUUGGGAAAGCCCUGGGCUCAACCUGGGAAUUGCAGUGGAUACUGGGUCACUAGAGUGUGGUAGAGGAUAGUGGAAUUUCCGGUGUAGCAGUGAAAUGCGUAGAGAUCGGAAGGAACAUCUGUGGCGAAGGCGACUAUCUGGGCCAACACUGACACUGAGGCACGAAAGCGUGGGGAGCAAACAGGAUUAGAUACCCGUGUAGUCCCUGUCUCUUAUAC
This 301-nucleotide ribosomal RNA is filed under the name uncultured bacterium. RNAcentral describes it as "partial 16S ribosomal RNA". It matches the Rfam family "Bacterial small subunit ribosomal RNA", at positions 509 to 807 of the family's 1533-position model. The record is from RNAcentral.